CAGUCGCCACGGGAAUACAGAGGGUGCGAGCGUUAAUCGGAUUUAUUGGGCGUAAAGCGUGCGUAGGCGGCUUCUUAAGUCGGAUGUGAAAUCCCUGAGCUUAACUUAGGAAUUGCAUUCGAUACUGGGAAGCUAGAGUAUGGGAGAGGAUGGUAGAAUUCCAGGUGUAGCGGUGAAAUGCGUAGAGAUCUGGAGGAAUACCGAUGGCGAAGGCAGCCAUCUGGCCUAAUACUGACGCUGAGGUACGAAAGCAUGGGGAGCAAACAGGAUUAGAUACCCCUGUAGUCCCUGUCUCUUAUAC
This 301-nucleotide ribosomal RNA is filed under the name uncultured bacterium. RNAcentral describes it as "partial 16S ribosomal RNA". It matches the Rfam family "Bacterial small subunit ribosomal RNA", at positions 509 to 807 of the family's 1533-position model. The record is from RNAcentral.